UGAGCAACCUGCCCUUAGCUUUGGGAUAGCCCUCGGAAACGGGGGCUAAUACCGGAUAUGACGGCUCACCGCAUGGUGUGGCUGUGGAAAGUUUUUCGGUCUGGGAUGGGCUCGCGGCCUAUCAGCUAGUUGGUGGGGUGAUGGCCCACCAAGGCGACGACGGGUAGCCGGCCUGAGAGGGUGACCGGCCACAUUGGAACUGAGACACGGUCCAGACUCCUACGGGAGGCAG
This 232-nucleotide ribosomal RNA is filed under the name uncultured bacterium. Its description in RNAcentral is "partial 16S ribosomal RNA". It matches the Rfam family "Bacterial small subunit ribosomal RNA", at positions 118 to 351 of the family's 1533-position model. The record is from RNAcentral.